This 253-nucleotide ribosomal RNA is filed under the name uncultured bacterium. RNAcentral describes it as "partial 16S ribosomal RNA". It matches the Rfam family "Bacterial small subunit ribosomal RNA", at positions 524 to 776 of the family's 1533-position model. The record is from RNAcentral.
UACAGAGGGUGCGAGCGUUGUCCGGAAUCACUGGGCGUAAAGGGCGCGUAGGGGGCGGCCCAAGUCCGUGGUGAAAGCUCGCCGCUUAACGGCGAGUCGGCCACGGAGACUGGGUGGCUCGAGCACUGUAGGGGCAGAUGGAAUUCCGGGUGUAGCGGUGGAAUGCGUAGAGAUCCGGAAGAACACCAGUGGCGAAGGCGGUCUGCUGGGCAGUUGCUGACACUGAUGCGCGACAGCGUGGGGAGCAAACAGG